UCGGUUUGGAUUUCCCUCUCCUCCUCCCUGGGAAAUCCGAUCGCGGUUCGCUCCUCCUCCUCCCUGAGCGGACCGCACCCUGAAGAAACGGCGGCACCUCUUCCUCCUCCCUGAGGUGUCGCCGUCC
This 127-nucleotide small RNA is filed under the name Roseisalinus antarcticus. RNAcentral describes it as "Alphaproteobacterial ar14". It matches the Rfam family "Alphaproteobacterial ar14". Rfam says of the family: Smr14C2 was renamed NfeR1 (Nodule Formation Efficiency RNA) highly expressed in salt stress and during the symbiotic interaction on legume roots. The record is from Rfam by way of RNAcentral. Lineage: Bacteria; Pseudomonadati; Pseudomonadota; Alphaproteobacteria; Rhodobacterales; Roseobacteraceae.